This 253-nucleotide ribosomal RNA is filed under the name uncultured bacterium. RNAcentral describes it as "partial 16S ribosomal RNA". It matches the Rfam family "Bacterial small subunit ribosomal RNA", at positions 524 to 776 of the family's 1533-position model. The record is from RNAcentral.
UACGGGGGGGGCAAGCGUUAUUCGGAAUUACUGGGCGUAAAGGGCUCGCAGGCGGCCGACUAAGUCAGACGUGAAAUCCCUUGGCUUAACCAAGGAAUGGCGUCUGAUACUGGACGGCUUGAAUUCGGGAGAGGGAUGUGGAAUUCCAGGUGUAGCGGUGAAAUGCGUAGAUAUCUGGAGGAACACCGGUGGCGAAGGCGGCAUCCUGGACCGAUAUUGACGCUGAGGAGCGAAAGCCAGGGGAGCAAACGGG